GACGAACGCUGGCGGCGUGCUUAACACAUGCAAGUCGAACGGAAAGGCCCCUUUGGGGGUCCUCGAGUGGCGCACGGGUGAGUAACACGUGAGUAACCUGCCCUUGACUUCGGGAUAACUUCAGGAAACUGGGGCUAAUACCGGAUAGGAAUCCUUGCUGCAUGGUGGGGGUUGGAAAGCUUCGGCGGUUUUGGAUGGACUCGCGGCUUAUCAGCUUGUUGGUGGGGUAGUGGCUUACCAAGGCUUUGACGGGUAGCCGGCCUGAGAGGGCGACCGGCCACAUUGGGACUGAGAGGCGGCCCAGACUCCGACGGGAGGCAGCAGGGGGGAAUAUUGCACAAUGGGCGGAAGCCUGAUGCAGCAACGCCGCGGGCGGGAUGACGGCCUUCGGGUUGUAAACCGCUUUCAGCAGGGGCGAAGCUUGUGGUGACGGUACCUGCAGAAGAAGCACCGGCUAACUACGUG
RNAcentral lists this ribosomal RNA (465 nucleotides) under uncultured bacterium. RNAcentral's name for it is "partial 16S ribosomal RNA". It matches the Rfam family "Bacterial small subunit ribosomal RNA", at positions 28 to 507 of the family's 1533-position model. The record is from RNAcentral.